This 465-nucleotide ribosomal RNA is filed under the name uncultured bacterium. Its description in RNAcentral is "partial 16S ribosomal RNA". It matches the Rfam family "Bacterial small subunit ribosomal RNA", at positions 28 to 507 of the family's 1533-position model. The record is from RNAcentral.
GAUGAACGCUGGCGGCGUGCUUAACACAUGCAAGUCGAACGGAAAGGCUCCUGCUUGCAGGGGUACUCGAGUGGCGAACGGGUGAGUAACACGUGGGUGAUCUGCCCUGCACUUCGGGAUAAGCCGGGGAAACUGGGUCUAAUACCGGAUAGGACGAUGGUUUGGAUGCCAUUGUGGAAAGUUUUUCGGUGUGGGAUGAGCUCGCGGCCUAUCAGCUUGUUGGUGGGGUAAUGGCCUACCAAGGCGUCGACGGGUAGCCGGCCUGAGAGGGUGUACGGCCACAUUGGGACUGAGAUACGGCCCAGACUCCUACGGGAGGCAGCAGUGGGGAAUAUUGCACAAUGGGCGCAAGCCUGAUGCAGCGACGCCGCGUGGGGGAUGACGGCCUUCGGGUUGUAAACUCCUUUCGCUAGGGACGAAGCGCAAGUGACGGUACCUGGAGAAGAAGCACCGGCUAACUACGUG